RNAcentral lists this ribosomal RNA (494 nucleotides) under uncultured Methylococcaceae bacterium. Its description in RNAcentral is "bacterial SSU rRNA". It matches the Rfam family "Bacterial small subunit ribosomal RNA", at positions 505 to 997 of the family's 1533-position model. The record is from RNAcentral. Lineage: Bacteria; Pseudomonadati; Pseudomonadota; Gammaproteobacteria; Methylococcales; Methylococcaceae.
GUGCCAGCAGCCGCGGUAAUACGGAGGGUGCAAGCGUUAAUCGGAAUUACUGGGCGUAAAGCGUGCGUAGGCGGUUCGUUAAGUCAGAUGUGAAAGCCCCGGGCUUAACCUGGGAACUGCAUUUGAAACUGGCGGACUUGAGUUGAGUAGAGGGGAGUGGAAUUUCAGGUGUAGCGGUGAAAUGCGUAGAUAUCUGAAGGAACACCAGUGGCGAAGGCGACUCCCUGGACUCAAACUGACGCUGAGGUACGAAAGCGUGGGUAGCAAACAGGAUUAGAUACCCUGGUAGUCCACGCUGUAAACGAUGUCAACUAGCCGUUGGUUCUCUUUACAGAAUUAGUGGCGCAGCUAACGCAUUAAGUUGACCGCCUGGGGAGUACGGCCGCAAGGUUAAAACUCAAAUGAAUUGACGGGGGCCCGCACAAGCGGUGGAGCAUGUGGUUUAAUUCGAUGCAACGCGAAGAACCUUACCUACCCUUGACAUCCAGAGAAUC